GGUGCAGUAGCGCAGUGGUUUGCAGUGUGUGUGUGUUGAUCAGCAGGUUGAGGGUUCGAAUCCCCACUGCCCCU
RNAcentral lists this transfer RNA (74 nucleotides) under Hordeum vulgare. RNAcentral describes it as "tRNA-OTHER". The record is from RNAcentral. Lineage: Eukaryota; Viridiplantae; Streptophyta; Magnoliopsida; Poales; Poaceae.